GUCUAGUUAAGCAAUCUAUACUGUGAAACUGCGAAUGGCUCAUUAAAUCAGUUAUCGUUUAUUUGAUAGUACCUUACUACUUGGAUAACCGUGGUAAUUCUAGAGCUAAUACAUGCUAAAAACCUCGACUUCGGAAGGGGUGUAUUUAUUAGAUAAAAAACCAAUGCCCUUCGGGGCUCCUUGGUGAUUCAUGAUAACUUAACGAAUCGCAUGGCCUUGCGCCGGCGAUGGUUCAUUCAAAUUUCUGCCCUAUCAACUUUCGAUGGUAGGAUAGUGGCCUACCAUGGUAGCAACGGGUAACGGGGAAUUAGGGUUCUAUUCCGGAGAGGGAGCCUGAGAAACGGCUACCACAUCCAAGGAAGGCAGCAGGCGCGCAAAUUACCCAAUCCCGACACGGGGAGGUAGUGACAAUAAAUACUGAUACAGGGCUCUUUCGAGUCUUGUAAUUGGAAUGAGUACAAUUUAAAUACCUUAACGAGGAACAAUUGGAGGGCAAGUCUGGUGCCAGCAGCCGCGGUAAUUCCAGCUCCAAUAGCGUAUAUUAAAGUUGUUGCAGUUAAAAAGCUCGUAGUUGAACCUUGGGCCUGGCUGGCCGGUCCGCCUCACCGCGUGUACUGGUCCGGCCGGGCCUUUCCUUCUGGGGAUCCGCAUGCCCUUCACUGGGUGGUGUCGGGGAACCAGGACUUUUACUUUGAAAAAAUUAGAGUGUUCAAAGCAGGCCUUUGCUCGAAUACAUUAGCAUGGAAUAAUAGGAAUAGGACGUGCGGUCCUAUUUUGUUGGUUUCUAGGACCGCCGUAAUGAUUAAUAGGGGAUAGUCGGGGGCAUCAGUAUUCAAUUGUCAGAGGUGAAAUUCUUGGAUUUAUUGAAGACUAACUACUGCGAAAGCAUUUGCCAAGGAUGUUUUCAUUAAUCAGUGAACGAAAGUAAGGGGAUCGAAGACGAUCAAAUACCGUCGUAGUCUUAACCGUAAACUAUGCCGACUAGGGAUCGGGCGAAUG
This 999-nucleotide ribosomal RNA is filed under the name Phyllosticta capitalensis. RNAcentral describes it as "SSU rRNA". It matches the Rfam family "Eukaryotic small subunit ribosomal RNA", at positions 57 to 1063 of the family's 1831-position model. The record is from RNAcentral. Lineage: Eukaryota; Fungi; Ascomycota; Dothideomycetes; Botryosphaeriales; Phyllostictaceae.